Molecule: transfer RNA, 104 nt
Organism: Phytophthora infestans T30-4
Lineage: Eukaryota; Oomycota; Peronosporomycetes; Peronosporales; Peronosporaceae
Rfam family: tRNA
About the family: Transfer RNA (tRNA) molecules are approximately 80 nucleotides in length. Their secondary structure includes four short double-helical elements and three loops (D, anti-codon, and T loops). Further hydrogen bonds mediate the characteristic L-shaped molecular structure. tRNAs have two regions of fundamental functional importance: the anti-codon, which is responsible for specific mRNA codon recognition, and the 3' end, to which the tRNAs corresponding amino acid is attached (by aminoacyl-tRNA synthetases). tRNAs cope with the degeneracy of the genetic code in two manners: having more than one tRNA (with a specific anti-codon) for a particular amino acid; and 'wobble' base-pairing, i.e. permitting non-standard base-pairing at the 3rd anti-codon position.
Source: Rfam
CCGAGUGUAGCUCAGUUGGUAGAGCGAUUGACUGUAGUGUUCUACACUGUGUUUUAGUAUUCUCGGAAAUCAAUUGGUCGCUGGUUCGAUUCCGGCCACUCGGA